RNAcentral lists this non-coding RNA (28 nucleotides) under Homo sapiens (human). The record is from RNAcentral. Lineage: Eukaryota; Metazoa; Chordata; Mammalia; Primates; Hominidae.
CGUGCUAGUGCUCUCUCUGGCCUGGGUC